UACGGAGGAGGCAAGCGUUAUCCGGAAUUAUUGGGCGUAAAGCGUCCACAGGUGGCAAUUCAAGUCUGUGGUUAAAGACUGGGGCUUAACCCUGGAAAGGCCAUGGAAACUGAAUAGCUAGAGUGCAGUAGGGGUAGAGGGAAUUCCCGGUGUAGCGGUGAAAUGCGUAGAGCUCGGGAAGAACAUCGGUGGCGAAAGCGCUCUGCUGGACUGCAACUGACACUCAGGGACGAAAGCUAGGGGAGCGAAUGGG
Molecule: ribosomal RNA, 253 nt
Filed under: uncultured bacterium
Lineage: Bacteria
Description: partial 16S ribosomal RNA
Rfam family: Bacterial small subunit ribosomal RNA
Source: RNAcentral